Anser brachyrhynchus (Pink-footed goose) is the source of this 1924-nucleotide long non-coding RNA. The record is from Ensembl. NCBI's taxonomy places the organism in Eukaryota, Metazoa, Chordata, Aves, Anseriformes, Anatidae.
AAGAGAAGGAAGUGGGGAGCCACAGAAUUGCCUUGAGCAGCUGCUGGUACAGGUGAAUAGGAGGCAGAAAUUUAUUCAGGAAAGGAUAAAUCUGUCGUAAUGCAUUGUUCUGACAAAUAUUCAGUCAGUGUUUGAGAAAAAACAAUUUUAUAACUGUUUGGCCCAUGAUCUUCUUAAAUUGUGCCAUGAAUUGUGCAAUAGUUCUAUAAAAACUUUUCAGAUCUGCCAGCAUUGUAGGAUGCAAUAUAAAGCCACGAUCUGUGAGAUUUAGAAAGUGCACAGUUUUACUCCUGGAAGUAGCUUCACUAUGAGUGCAGUUACACAUGUACUUAAUACACACAAGCUCUGUUUGAGACCUCGUAUGUACAAGGAUUGGCAUCUCAAACACACGGCACUGGUCAGACUGGUACAUUCAUAGACAGCCAGGGAGGGGUUUACGGCAUGCCUACAAGCUGUCCAGCAUGCGCUUUGAAGGUCUCAUGAGGAAAACAUGAGGAGAUCUCUUUGGUGGUGUCCUGUUUUAUCACAUUCCUUGAUGAACCAAGGGCUGUAUACAAAACAGUAAGCAAUAUGAACAAAAACGGGCAAUGUGAACAUCGCCUUCAGUUCAUCACCAAUUAGUUCAGCUAAUUUUAAAUAUGCAUACGAAUUCAAUAUAAUGAAGUGGAGUCCAAAAGUCACUAAUUCAACUCUUUGAAAGCGUGUUCCUUUUUUGACCAAACUGUAGUACCACGACCUUAUUUAUAUACUUUUGCAGAAAACAUAGCUGAAUGACUAUUCUGGUUUGGAAUGCGUCACUUUGAGUACUCAUGCUCCUGAAACUUUUACAGGCCUCAAAAUCAGCAGUGACAAAGUGGCAAGAAGGUGUUCCACCAAGAAUCUAGUUAAAUUGUCAAAAAACAAAAACAAAAACAAACACGAUAUUUUAAACAAUUUUCUUAAUAUUCACUAGAUGGCAGCUGAUCUUCAAGAAUGGCUGUAUUUCUCCUUGCAGAUCUGAUAAUUUCAAGUCAUCGGUUCUUGGAGAAACUGAUUGUAGUCCAGCAUUGUCUUCACUCUGUUUCAAAUAUCAAACUGAAAUACCAGCACAGCACAUCUUAUACUCCAGCUGAAGAAAAGCUUCUGAAAAUCCUUGGAGACAAUCAGUCCAACUGCUGUAGAAGCAGCUGCUCAGUUGGUGAUCAUUUCUCCCAGAGAAUUCAUCAGAAAAAUGUCACAGACUUCAGCGAGGGUUGGCCGGAGCCCUGGCAGCCAAACUAGGAACAAUGCCUACAUUGCGCAGAACAGAAUGUAGCCAUUCAUAUUUGCAUGAAGCUUGUGGAUUCCUACUGUGGAAGUGCCUGUGAAAAUGACUAUGCAUUUAGUUCUCAAAUUAAUAUUGGCCGAUCAAAUUGUGUUUAAGACUGAGUGCAUUUUUAAGCAUUUGCUCUGCUAAAGGCUCUGUUCUAGACUUUGAGGUUUGAAAGUCUAUCUAGAAUAGUUGCAGUUCAUCCAUGUCACUAAUCAAGGUUCUAUUUUUCAGCUCCUAUGGAUGUAUUGUCCUCUGUCUGCUGGUUAGAAUUUGUGGUCCAAAAUGAUACUGCCUUUGUAUUUACAAAGGGGAAGGAAGUAUUCUUGCAAGAGUUGAAAACGGUGAUUAAAAUAUUUUCUUGUUCUUUUAAGGAGGAGCUGAGGAUCUGUUCUGUUAAUCAUGUGAUAUCUAUAAGAAUGACAUUGACAAGGUAAGAGAGAGUAAAUAGUGGGCUGGUACAGACACCUUGUGAGAACACCUACCCAAAGUAGCUGUCCGUUCUUACUACAUUCCACGUUCAGGACAGAGUAGAUACAUAGUGUCCCGGCUUCAGAUUCCUCUGAAUCUCUCAGUGUUUGACUGAAAAAUAUACCUCUGCCAAAUAAAAAUACACAUUUCAGAGUAAUUUAGACA